GACGUAGGGCGCGAGCGUUGUCCGGAUUUAUUGGGCGUAAAGAGCUCGUAGGCGGUGUGUCACGUCGGCCGUGAAAACCUGCAGCUUAACUGUGGGCGUGCGGUCGAUACGGGCAUCACUGGAGUUCGGCAGGGGAGACUGGAAUUCCUGGUGUAGCGGUGAAAUGCGCGAGAUAUCGAGGAGGAACCACCGGUGGCGGAAGGCGG
Molecule: ribosomal RNA, 206 nt
Filed under: uncultured bacterium
Lineage: Bacteria
Description: partial 16S ribosomal RNA
Rfam family: Bacterial small subunit ribosomal RNA
Source: RNAcentral